Molecule: non-coding RNA, 235 nt
Organism: Parasteatoda tepidariorum (common house spider)
Lineage: Eukaryota; Metazoa; Arthropoda; Arachnida; Araneae; Theridiidae
Source: RefSeq, a predicted model, not a curated record
AUCCGUUGUCAGAUGUUGGGUUUCAUAUCCAUUAUCUUCGACCGUAGAUUUGAGCAACAUGGAUGUUAUAAUUGGAAAUCUUUUUGGACGAGAUUAUUAUGUGACCAAUCAGAAGGUGGAAGCAAUUAAUCGCAGUAGCUUUGAUGUAGUGUUUUGGUUACUCAUCGCUUUGGUUAUUCUCAUGAUUUUAGCCAUCUUAGCUCUAUGCUUAUAUUGUUGCUGCGUCAGAUCAACA